AGUCGAGGGGUAUGGGCUUUCGGGCCCGAGACCGGCGCACGGGUGCGUAACGCGUAUGCAAUCUACCUUUUACAGCGGGAUAGCCCAGAGAAAUUUGGAUUAAUACCACAUAGUAUUAUAGGAUGGCAUCAUUUUAUAAUUAAAGUCACAACGGUAAAAGAUGAGCAUGCGUCCCAUUAGCUAGUUGGUAAGGUAACGGCUUACCAAGGCAACGAUGGGUAGGGGUCCUGAGAGGGAGAUCCCCCACACUGGUACUGAGACACGGACCAGACUCCUACGGGAGGCAGCAGUGAGGAAUAUUGGACAAUGGGCGCAAGCCUGAUCCAGCCAUGCCGCGUGCAGGAUGACGGUCCUAUGGAUUGUAAACUGCUUUUAUACAGGAAGAAACCCUUGCUCGUGAGCAAGAUUGACGGUACUGUAAGAAUAAGGAUCGGCUAACUCCGUGCCAGCAGCCGCGGUAAUACGGAGGAUCCAAGCGUUAUCCGGAAUCAUUGGGUUUAAAGGGUCCGUAGGCGGUUUAAUAAGUCAGUGGUGAAAGCCCAUCGCUCAACGGUGGAACGGCCAUUGAUACUGUUAGACUUGAAUUAUUAGGAAGUAACUAGAAUAUGUAGU
RNAcentral lists this ribosomal RNA (612 nucleotides) under uncultured Bacteroidota bacterium. RNAcentral describes it as "bacterial SSU rRNA". It matches the Rfam family "Bacterial small subunit ribosomal RNA", at positions 60 to 674 of the family's 1533-position model. The record is from RNAcentral. Lineage: Bacteria; Pseudomonadati; Bacteroidota.